AGAUAAUAGAUACCCUGGUAGUCCACGCCGUAAACGAUGAUGACUAGCUGUCGGGGCUCUUGGAGUUUCGGUGGCGCAGCUAACGCGUUAAGUCAUCCGCCUGGGGAGUACGGCCGCAAGGUUAAAACUCAAAGAAAUUGACGGGGGCCUGCACAAGCGGUGGAGCAUGUGGUUUAAUUCGAAGCAACGCGCAGAACCUUACCAGCGUUUGACAUGGUAGGACGGUUUCCAGAGAUGGAUUCCUUCCCUUACGGGACCUACACACAGGUGCUGCAUGGCUGUCGUCAGCUCGUGUCGUGACGAUGUUGGGUU
RNAcentral lists this ribosomal RNA (312 nucleotides) under uncultured bacterium. RNAcentral's name for it is "bacterial SSU rRNA". It matches the Rfam family "Bacterial small subunit ribosomal RNA", at positions 774 to 1081 of the family's 1533-position model. The record is from RNAcentral.